Molecule: ribosomal RNA, 525 nt
Filed under: uncultured bacterium
Lineage: Bacteria
Description: partial 16S ribosomal RNA
Rfam family: Bacterial small subunit ribosomal RNA
Source: RNAcentral
GACGAACGCUGGCGGCGUGCCUAAUACAUGCAAGUCGAGCGCAGGAAGCCGUUCCGAACCCUUCGGGGGGACGACGGUGGAAUGAGCGGCGGACGGGUGAGUAACACGUAAAGAACCUGCCCAUAGGUCUGGGAUAACCACGAGAAAUCGGGGCUAAUACCGGAUGUGUCAUCGGACCGCAUGGUCCGCUGAUGAAAGGCGCUCCGGCGUCGCCCAUGGAUGGCUUUGCGGUGCAUUAGCUAGUUGGUGGGGUAACGGCCCACCAAGGCGACGGUGCAUAGCCGACCUGGGAGGGUGAUCGGCCACACUGGGACUGAGACACGGCCCAGACUCCUACGGGAGGCAGCAGUAGGGAAUCUUCCACAAUGGACGAAAGUCUGAUGGAGCAACGCCGCGUGAACGAUGAAGGCUUUCGGGUCGUAAAGUUCUGUUGUAAGGGAAGAACAAGUGCCGCAGGCAAUGGCGGCACCUUGACGGUACCUUGCGAGAAAGCCACGGCUAACUACGUGCCAGCAGCCGCCGUAA